This 460-nucleotide ribosomal RNA is filed under the name uncultured bacterium. RNAcentral's name for it is "partial 16S ribosomal RNA". It matches the Rfam family "Bacterial small subunit ribosomal RNA", at positions 338 to 795 of the family's 1533-position model. The record is from RNAcentral.
CCUACGGGAGGCAGCAGUGAGGAAUAUUGGUCAAUGGACGAGAGCCUGAACCAGCCAAGUAGCGUGAAGGAUGACUGCCCUAUGGGUUGUAAACUUCUUUUAUAUGGGAAUAAAAUGUUCCACGUGUGGGAUUUUGUAUGUACCAUAUGAAUAAGGAUCGGCUAACUCCGUGCCAGCAGCCGCGGUAAUACGGAGGAUCCGAGCGUUAUCCGGAUUUAUUGGGUUUAAAGGGAGCGUAGGUGGGUUGUUAAGUCAGUUGUGAAAGUUUGCGGCUCAACCGUAAAAUUGCAGUUGAAACUGGCAGUCUUGAGUACAGUAGAGGUGGGCGGAAUUCGUGGUGUAGCGGUGAAAUGCUUAGAUAUCACGAAGAACUCCGAUUGCGAAGGCAGCUCACUGAACUGCAACUGACACUGAGGCUCGAAAGUGUGGGUAUCAAACAGGAUUAGAUACCCUUGUAGUC